RNAcentral lists this ribosomal RNA (394 nucleotides) under uncultured bacterium. Its description in RNAcentral is "bacterial SSU rRNA". It matches the Rfam family "Bacterial small subunit ribosomal RNA", at positions 505 to 898 of the family's 1533-position model. The record is from RNAcentral.
GUGUCAGCCGCCGCGGUAAUACGGAGGUCUCAAGCGUUGUUCGGAUUCAUUGGGCGUAAAGGGCGUGUAGGCGGUCUGGCAAGUCAGGGGUGUAAUGCCACGGCUCAACCGUGGAAUUGCCUUUGAAACUGCCGGACUUGAGGCCGUGAGAGGAGACUGGAAUUCCCAGUGUAGCGGUGAAAUGCAUAGAUAUUGGGAAGAACACCAGUGGCGAAGGCGAGUCUCUGGCACGGUUCUGACGCUGAGGCGCGAAAGCUAGGGGAGCAAACGGGAUUAGAUACCCCGGUAGUCCUAGCCGUAAACGAUGGACACUAAGUGUCGGCCGAUCGACCCGGUCGGUGCUGAAGCUAACGCGUUAAGUGUCCCGCCUGGGGAGUACGGCCGCAAGGUUGAA